GGGGGAGGUUUAUUGCAGAGCCAGGUUACAGAGCAGGGAGGCCUUUGGUUGUGACUCCGCCAAGAAGGCAGGCGUCUGAGGACUGGACUGGGACCGAUGGGGCCUGGGGCUGCUGGAGUAGCCUGAGGGGUGGUGGUUAAACACAUGCAGGCCAGUUCUCCAGGGAAGGCGCACACAGUUUGAUAUUAAUGCUGACAAGUGAAGUGCCCUGAGGAGAAGGGGCUGUGGUAACACUGGUGACUGAUGUGCCCGGAGGGGAGACGGUGUCGUUAAUCUUAGGGCAGGUCUACAUUUUAAAGUUGCACUGGUACAGCUGUCGUGUACACCACCCCCCGAGGGGCAGUAGCUCUGUCGAUGGGAGACGCCCCUUCAACCGACAGUGCUGCUCUGCGCUGGGGGUUAGGUUGGCAUCACUGGGUUGCUGGGUGAGGGGAGAUUUUUUACACCCCGGAGUGACAUAGUUAUACCAACCUAAUUUCCUAGUGAAGACGUGGCCUGAGCUGAAGGGACAUAGGGUUGGAAAAGGCGCAUCUGUCACUAGCAGGAGGGAAAUUGGCAUCUGUAGUGAGUAGAAGACCUCACUAGCGGAAGAGAUACAGGCAGGCACCCAGUGGCAUGAGUAAGGGAAGGCCUCAUUGUAGCGAGUGGGAGGAAUGUGGUGGCCUUGUGACGGGUAUGGAGGAAAAGAUCUGGUUGGCACUAGCAGGAGGAAUAUGGUGCCCUGAAGGCACACAGGGGAGGUGGUCUCAUUAGCGCUAGCAGGAGUGGCGUGGUGCCUUGGGGGCACACAGGGGAAAAGGUCUCAUUAGCACUAGCAGGAGGGCCGUGGUGCCCCGGGGGUGCACAGGGGAGAAGGUCUUGUUAGCGCUAGGGUGAUCAGUUGUCCCAAUUUUAUAGGGACAGUCCCGAUUUUUGGGUCUUUUUCUUAUAUAGGCUCCUAUUACCCCCCACCCCCAUCCUGAUUUUUCACACUUGCUGUCUGGUCACCCUACGUUAGCGCUAGCAGGAGGGGCGUGGUGCCCCAGGGGCACACAGGGGAGAAGGUCUCGUUAGCGCUAGCAGGAGGGGCAUGGUGCCCUAGGGCCACAUGGGGAGAAGGUCUGGUUGGCGCUAGCAGGAGGGGCGUGGUGCCCUGGGGGCACACAGGGGAGAAGGUCUCGUUAGUGCUAGCAGGAGGGGUGUGGUGCCCUGGGGGCGCAUGGAGAGAAGGUCUCGUUAGCGCUAGCAGGAGGGGCAUGGUGCCCUGGGGGCGCACGGGGAGAAGGUUUCGUUAGUGCUAGCAGGAGGGGCAUGGUGCCCUGGGGGCGCACAGGGAGAAGGUCUCGUGAGCGCUAGCAGGAGGGACGUGGUGCCCUGGGGGCACAUGAGGAGAAGGUCUGGCUGGCACUAGCAGGAGGGGCGUGGUUCCCGGGGGCGCACAGGGAGAAGGUCUCGUUAGCGCUAGCAGGAGGGGCGUGGUGCCCUGGGGG
Gopherus flavomarginatus (Mexican gopher tortoise) is the source of this 1469-nucleotide long non-coding RNA. RefSeq lists it as uncharacterized. NCBI's taxonomy places the organism in Eukaryota, Metazoa, Chordata, Testudines, Testudinidae. The transcript is spliced from 4 exons. The record is from RefSeq and is a predicted model, not a curated record.